RNAcentral lists this unclassified non-coding RNA (391 nucleotides) under soil metagenome. RNAcentral describes it as "partial contains 5.8S ribosomal RNA, internal transcribed spacer 2, and large subunit ribosomal RNA". The stretch from base 1 to 122 matches the Rfam family "5.8S ribosomal RNA", at positions 35 to 154 of the family's 154-position model. The record is from RNAcentral.
GAUGAAGAACGCAGCGAAAUGCGAUACUUGGUGUGAAUUGCAGAAUCCCGUGAACCAUCGAGUCUUUGAACGCAAGUUGCGCCCGAAGCCACUAGGCCGAGGGCACGCCUGCCUGGGCGUCACACGUCGUUGCCCCCCCCCCAUCUACUCCUUCGGGAUUGCGGGGGGCGGAUGAUGGCCUCCCGUGCGCCUAGCCGCGCGGUUGGCAUAAAUACCAAGUCCUCGGCGACGCACGCCACGACAAUCGGUGGUUGCGAAACCUCGGUUGCCCGUCGUGUGCGUUCGUCGCGCAUCGAGGGCUCGAAAAAAUGCUCGGCUCCGGCUCGGCUUUCAACGCGACCCCAGGUCAGGCGGGGUUACCCGCUGAAUUUAAGCAUAUCAAUGCGGAGGA